This 231-nucleotide ribosomal RNA is filed under the name uncultured bacterium. RNAcentral describes it as "partial 16S ribosomal RNA". It matches the Rfam family "Bacterial small subunit ribosomal RNA", at positions 103 to 334 of the family's 1533-position model. The record is from RNAcentral.
CGGUCGCGUAACACGUAAGCAACCUGCCCGAAAGACCGGGACAACAGCUCGAAAGGGCUGCUAAUACCGGAUGUGUCCGUCCCUUCGCAUGGGGGGCGAGUAAAUCAUUUAUGGCUUUCGGAGGGGCUUGCGGCCUAUCAGCUAGAUGGCGAGGUAACGGCUCACCAUGGCGACGACGGGUAGCUGGUCUGAGAGGACGGUCAGCCGGACUGGGACUGAGAUACGGCCCAG